CCUAAUCUCUCUCGCACAAAGUCUGCGUCUCAUCGAUUUUGCAGAUUACAUCAUUCUUUUUUUUUUUUUUUUUGCUUAUUUGGGAAAAAAUCUGAAAGGGAGUUGUUUUAUACGAUUUUUCGACUGGUGGAAAAAAUCUGGGAAAAAAAUAAUAUUUCCAUAUAUGCAUGAAAAAAAUGGGUUUAAUUGUUGGGCCUGAAAUCAAAUUCAUCGUUUUCCUUUCAAUUUAUUACACCACACAGAAACCUCGGUGUUUGAGGUCCAAAGAUUUAAGCUUUAAUGGCUCGGAAGCGGCUCUGACUUGAUUCCAAGUUUCAAUUGAACAAGUGUAAUAAAAGAUCGAAAGGUGAUAAUGACCGCAUUAGUCAGCUGCCGGAUGAUAUUCUCGUCGCUAUCAUAUCUUUGCUAUCGAUGAAGGAAGCUGCACGAACUAGUGUUCUUUCAUCUCGUUGGAUAAACUUGAUCUAUUUUGUCGAUUUGUUGGGUUUCAUAAAAUUGUCGAAAUGCAAUAAAACAAAGUCCAACGGCGAGUUGGAGGGAAUCAGUCUGGUGAAUCAUGUUCCGAAGUGUUUGAAAUCGUCGGUCGCUUCUACAUUGGGCAAAGACGACAAUUUGAGAAGUCAUCUAUUGAUAGAAACAUCUGAUUGCGAAACUUCAUCUGAAAAAUUGCCGCCGCGAGAAUCCGUUCCCAAGUAUCUGAAGCUGAUUAGACAUGUGUUGUACUCAAAGGUUUGGAAGAGGCAGAAUGAGAAGGUGAAGUCCACAGCUUCCUUAACGACGCCGUCCACUGCGCCAGCGAAUGCGCGUGUACAAUUAUCGUCGAGGAGUUCCUUGGAAGGUGGCAGGACGGGGGGAGCAUUAAGGGGAGCAUUAAGAUUCUAGCGAAGCAUUUGGUAAAAAGUCCAUCGGCCCCGGGUUCAUCCUGGCGGCUCCGCGUAUCCCUCAGGAGAGACGAUUUGUUGAUGGAACAACAAGAUGGAAUCCAAAGCGCCGUUCUCUAUUGCAAGAAAUCCUACAACUCCUCACCCGACAAAGGUACACUUCUCCCCAAAAUUGUAUGUUAUGUCAAAUUAAAUUUAAUUCUCGCUUAACAUUUACUUAUUGAAUUUCCCUAAUUCUUUCAUUUUGUACUUGUUUCAGAGUGAAUUUUGGGCUAAAAUGGUGCUUGUUCCUUCUGUUUACCUUCGUAAAGAAGCUCCAUACAUUACCCCAAUGUGAAUUGGACCAAAGGGUGAAAUCUUGUUGACUUUAGGAUCGACUUUCAUGAUUUACUGCCCAAAGGAUAAUCAGUUUAGGCAUCUCAUGAUGAGGGACUUUCGUGCCUUUCCUUAAGCGCAUGUUUACUACGAGAGUUUAGUCUCUCAUGUGUAAUGGUGAACCAGAAGGAGGCAAAUCUAGAGUUUUUAUGAGUAAUAAUCUAUAGCUAUUGUUUGUUCCCCAUGGUCUCUUGAUGGUUGUAUGAGUAUCUUAUCUUUUGCCUAUCAUUUAUUUCAGUAUCAAUAAAUAAAAAUGAAAUGAUCUUUUACUUGGAACUGUUUUGUACUUCAGUGGUAAAUUUGAUUCUGCA
Erythranthe guttata (spotted monkey flower) is the source of this 1567-nucleotide non-coding RNA. The record is from RefSeq and is a predicted model, not a curated record. NCBI's taxonomy places the organism in Eukaryota, Viridiplantae, Streptophyta, Magnoliopsida, Lamiales, Phrymaceae.